Molecule: long non-coding RNA, 387 nt
Filed under: Brassica rapa (field mustard)
Lineage: Eukaryota; Viridiplantae; Streptophyta; Magnoliopsida; Brassicales; Brassicaceae
Description: long non-coding RNA (BRAP_LNC008337)
Source: RNAcentral
UCUUGGUCACGUUGAUGUUGGGUGAAAAUGGCAAAGGUCCACCUUCCUUUUAUAGUAAAACCAGUCUGAAUAGAGUUGUGACAGCUGCCCCACCUUCUUUCUUUGAUGGCCAAGUCACCUUGACCUUGUCCUUCUCUUCUUUUUCCACGUGAACACAUACUCUCUUCAAUUUGUCUUCUUCUAACACCUCCUUCCCAAGUUUAAUUAGUCAUCUCCUUGUCAUAUUAUUUUUCCACGUAGUCAUCACUUUCAUUUGCCUCCUCUGCAAGAUGCCCACGUGUGAGGACAAAGAAAAGCUGUAUAUGACUAACUCCUCCUUUCUUUAAGACACGUUAAAUGCCUCAAAACCAUAAGAAAUAUAAAAUAUUUCUUUCUCUUCUUUUCUUU